CCGCCCUCUUGAACACGUCCUAAAACGCGCUUCCGCCCUCUUCUCCCUCUCUCAGUGUCUCUGCCAUCCUGAGCGUGGUGUUGCUCCGACUUCACCAUGUCAUCUCAUAAGACUUUUAGGAUCAAGAGAUUCCUGGCCAAGAAACAGAAACAGAAUCGGCCCAUUCCCCAAUGGAUUCGAAUGAAAACCGGUAAUAAAAUCAGGUACAACUCCAAGAGAAGACAUUGGAGAAGAACCAAGCUGGGUCUGUAAGGAGGGAUGGCACGCAUGACCGCAUUUUCCCAGUCUCAAAUCAUGUUGUGUUGCAUUAAGACUUUCGUCCCCAUCUGAUCAAAUGAUCUUUUAUUGGCAAAUCUGAUUUAUUCGUUUUUUGCUUCCUCAUCAAGUCUAACAAUAAAUAAUGUAAGGCUUUUGGUUUGAA
Echinops telfairi (small Madagascar hedgehog) is the source of this 421-nucleotide long non-coding RNA. RefSeq lists it as uncharacterized. The transcript has 3 exons. The record is from RefSeq and is a predicted model, not a curated record. NCBI's taxonomy places the organism in Eukaryota, Metazoa, Chordata, Mammalia, Afrosoricida, Tenrecidae.